AAAAGCUUUAAGGAAAGCUCUUUGUUUUUUGAAAGGGUGCUUUUAUGAGAUAGAGAUUUUUUAGAUAAUGCUUUUUUAGAUAAUGCUGGGGAAGGUUUUCCGGUUUAUCUCGGAGGGCUUGUAGCUCAGUUGGUUAGAGCGCGCGCUUGAUAAGCGUGAGGUCGGAGGUUCAAGUCCUCCCAGGCCCACCAAUUUACCUAUCCAUUUGCCUUUAUCUGUUUAUUUGCCGAUUUAUCGGUCCAUUGAAUUUAAGUGUUGGUAGCAGUUUUAUAAUGAUGAGAAAUCAUGCUUAUAAAAGAACUCCUUAUAAAAGGCUUGUUUUUAAAAUGUGACGCUUAUCCAUUUCGCUUAGGCAAGAGAAACUUCAAGCGGUUCAAAUGCAAAAGGCUUUAAAUUUUGCAAAACACUUUGAAUUUUGCAAAACACUUUGAAUUUUAAAGUGAUCCAAGUUCGUGAUCUCGAAUUUAAAAGUUUCGAAUGCUUUAUCCUUUUUUGGGGGCCGUAGCUCAGCUGGGAGAGCACCUGCUUUGCAAGCAGGGGGUCGUC
This 546-nucleotide unclassified non-coding RNA is filed under the name uncultured Bartonella sp. RNAcentral's name for it is "partial 16S-23S ribosomal RNA intergenic spacer". The stretch from base 115 to 188 matches the Rfam family "tRNA". The record is from RNAcentral. Lineage: Bacteria; Pseudomonadati; Pseudomonadota; Alphaproteobacteria; Hyphomicrobiales; Bartonellaceae.